RNAcentral lists this unclassified non-coding RNA (2259 nucleotides) under Hevea brasiliensis (rubber tree). The record is from RNAcentral. Lineage: Eukaryota; Viridiplantae; Streptophyta; Magnoliopsida; Malpighiales; Euphorbiaceae.
GAACGUGUUAUAGAAAAAUAAGAGAAGUUGAGCUCAAAUUUGAGCUUCUAAUAUCUUACAUGAAGAAAAAUGGUAGCAUAGAAUGCGCAAACAAAUGUAUAUCCCUGGUGAAAACAAAUCAAGUCAGGAACUUAGGAUACAUCUGGUGUAUUCUCCAAUCGACAACAACAAGCAACUGGAAUUAUUGCUCCAUUUUUGCAGUAUUAUAAACAUUACAAGGAAAAAACAGAAAAUAACAAUAUAAUAAAACCUCUCUUUCUCUCUCUGGAAAAAAAAUCAAGAAAUAUAUAUAACAAGAAGGAAAAAAACUGUGAAAUCUCCCCCCCACAACGUGGCUAACGUUCCUACUUUCUAUUUCCAGUUCUUCGUUUCAUAUCAACAGGAGCUGGCUGCCUUCCACUCCGGUAUAAGGGAGCUCCAACUCCAUUUGGUAAUUUUCGUGAUGGUGAAGGACCUAGCAUAGGGUUCAAGUUCCUGCUCAAGUCUGGAUUCUUUGUUGCUUUUGAAUUUGGCUUCUUUGUUUUUGACUCGAUCACAUUGGCUAUGCCAGAAAGUUUGGUUUGAUUGAAUUGCCACAACAAAUCAGGUUCUGAUGAAUCACUAGUGGCGGCGUCAAGAUCAUCCAUAUCUUCAGUACUACUACUGUUGAAACGGUUGUUACCCAUUAACAUAUUAUAGGACUGCUCAGGGUAAAUUUUGGAAGAGUGUGAAAGAUAUUUCUGGUAAAAGAGAUCAGGCAAAUGACCAUUAUCUGCUUCCCAGCAUCCUUGAGGGUUUUGAACCCUGUUUACAGCAUCUUGCUUGUUCACCAUGACUUUAUCUACCCACUCGCCUGACCCCAUUUCCUUCUCAUCCUCUCCAUAAUUUUUGUUAGGACUAAUAACUGGAGGCCAUGGAGGUGAAUUUGCUAAUAGCUCGUCAAGAUCGAAGCUCUGCCUUUUUUGCCCAGAAGUAGAGUUUGUGUGAACCUCCAUGUUGCCAACAUCACCCAUGGGUUGCGGGAAGCUAUUGCUAUCAUUCACAUCCCCAAGCCGCUGGUUAGAAUUAAAUGGUGAUAACUCAUUUUCUUUUCUUCUGUAACCUUCAGAGUUGCCAGAUACAGAAUGUAAGAAGUGUUCUGCUUCUCCAUCUUUCCUCGCUAAUGCUGCCUUUAGGCUAGCAAUCUAGAAAAAGAAAAAUAUGUGUAUAUAUAUAUAUAUAAAUUUUCAUAUAGUACAUAUAAAAUUUGUAGCAUGAUUAGGCAACUAUGAAGUAAACUGUAAAGGAGACGGAAAAUGUAAUCACUUGUUCUUUGAGAUCUUUAACAUCUGCACCGUCUUUGUUCACUCGAGCUGCACCUAGUUCAACAGUGGCCACCCGCUCUGCAAAUUUUAGUGUACUUAUUGUUUCUCCAACAGCAUCAGGCUCAGGGCUUAUGUGAACAAACAUUAAUGUUUUGGCCUGCCCUCCAAGUGAAUCUUGAAGCAGCUGUGUAAGUUUGCUGUUUCUGUAAGGAACAUGUGGAUUCUUUUGGGCAAGUGAAGCAAUUACAUCACCUAAAGCUGAAAGAGAUCUGUUAAUAUGUUGUGCCUCUUUCAAUCUAUCUCCUGUCGCUUCAGAUUUGUCUACCCUCUCGCUCCCCGCCAAAUCAACCAGAUGCAUGCAACCACGAAGUAUAGCUCCUGAUGUCAACUCUCUUCCUUGGACGUGAACAGUCAAGCAACUAUGAGAGCGACUGCUACGGUCAUUUAAGGCAGUUGCACCAACAGCACGAUUCCUUUGUCCAAGGUUCAUCAGUUCAAUGACGUCAGAUGUUGAUGAAACGGGAAAAAGAUUUGCAUCUGGCACAUUCAGACCUGUUUGAGAACUAUUGCGAAUUUCUAAUCUUUUGUUGCUUCCAUCAGUAACAAGGAGAUCUCUGACUUGCUCAUUGUAAAUCUCAAUCAUUUGUACUGCAACAUUAUAGCAGAAGAUGUCCUUCCUUUGCUCUGCUAGAAGAAACAAAUCACUCAAUGCCCUAUAAUUUACACCGAGGCUUUUCUCUGUAAGAUCUUUGGGUCCUGUCAUUGUAUAUGUUUUUCCGGAUCCCGUUUGACCAUAUGCAAAUAUACAAACAUUGUACCCAUCUAGCACUGAGAUGACCAGGGGCGAGGCAUCCGCAAAUACAUCAACUUGGUUAUCGUUUGGUGUGUAAACCCUGUCAAAUUUAAAAGUCUUUCUAGUGGAGCCACCAGUUAGAAUCCCAAGAUCUCCAUCCUUUGCUGCUUCAAAGUCAACAAC